RNAcentral lists this long non-coding RNA (368 nucleotides) under Ictidomys tridecemlineatus (thirteen-lined ground squirrel). RNAcentral's name for it is "lncRNA (ENSSTOG00000032021.1)". The record is from RNAcentral. Lineage: Eukaryota; Metazoa; Chordata; Mammalia; Rodentia; Sciuridae.
CGGCAUAGUCCGGCGCAGCAUGGAGCAGCUGCCUUUGGGCCCACGAGAUGGGUGCUCUCCUGGGCGCCCCCUCCCCUGGCAGGGGCCGAGGACACUGCUGCUGCACAAAAGUCUCCAGGAUGGCUUUGGUUUCACCCUGCGCCACUUCAUCGUGUACCCACCCGAGUCUGCCGUGCACUGCAGCCUGAAGGUAUGCCUAGCUCUCCGCUGUCCUCACUGUCCCUGGGAAGCUUGAUGGGGGAGAGUGAUUCCUUUGCCCACUAGUCCCUCUCAGAGAAGAAGUCUUUCCUGGGACUGCUGACUCCCUUCUGCUGAGGCCUGGGAGGAAGGCUGCUGGGAGGCCGUGCCUGCUGGGGCUGGGACAUUUG